GGUAAGACGAUCGGCACAUGUCCUCGGACAUGGCCCGAUAUGAACCUUCCCGUGCUUUUUAGAACAUAGAUGGCACCAGUCAGGUGACUAUCGAAACGUAAUACGCCGCGAUGACUUCGGUCACGACGGUAUGGCGAGCUUUCGCCGUCCACGUUUCUCUUUCUUCAAGAAGACAAAAAACCGCGUCGACCGGUUCCCCGAAUGGGCCCGUAGCUCAGUUGGUUAGAGCACACGCUUGAUAAGCGUGGGGUCGGAAGUUCAAGUCUUCCCGGGCCCACCAUUUGCAUCAGCAAGUGAAAUUUGCUGUAGCGAAUGAGGGUUAGGGAUGAUGGAAUGUUGGGCGAUGCGGAUUGUUGCCGAACCUUGGGGUCUUGCCCCUGGGUGAUCGAGCUGGAGGGGCUGUAGCUCAGCUGGGAGAGCACCUGCUUUGCAAGCAGGGGGUCAGCGGUUCGAUCCCGCUCAGCUCCACCAAAUCGAUUGGUGUUGAAGCUGACGGCAUUUGUCUUUUGAAGAAAUAAAAGUUUUGCAUCGGCUUAUGGCUGGUGCGUGUUCUGCAUACAUUGUGAAGAGAAGAUUGAUCUGGAGGCUUCCAGGUGUUUUGGGUUCUGCCCAAGGCGUCCGAGCCCAGUUCCUGUGAACCCAUGGAUGGCCUAGCCGGCCGGAUGUGGUGGAGGGAUUGGAGGUAGGAAGGAAGCUUGUCGCUCUGGAUCGUCAGCGUAAACCGCAUAGCGGUUUAUCGCGUGUUGUUCGUUGCCUUCGGGCUUCGUCUGACAGACGAUCGGAUUACCGUUGCCUGACCGCGCGGUAUCGGAUCCAAUCUCGAGAAGCUGGUCUUAAGACAGGCUGCAAGCGAGCUGCUCGGCGUAGCUCCAAUAAAGCAGACCUGUCGAACACGUCGAUGGCAUCAUGAAAUGAUCCGGUUGUAAAAGGUAACCGGAUUUUUGGACUGGCCGCACGGCAAUCGCAAGGUUGCCGGAUGGUCUGAAGUCCAAAUAUGGAUGAGCAUUGGCAAUGAGAACGAUUAAGUGUCGUAAGGGCAUUUGGUGGAUGCCUUGGCAUGCACAGGCGAUGAAGGACGUGAUACGCUGCGAAAAGCCGUGGGGAGCUGCGAA
Molecule: unclassified non-coding RNA, 1112 nt
Filed under: Rhizobium leguminosarum
Lineage: Bacteria; Pseudomonadati; Pseudomonadota; Alphaproteobacteria; Hyphomicrobiales; Rhizobiaceae
Description: partial contains 16S ribosomal RNA, 16S-23S ribosomal RNA intergenic spacer, and 23S ribosomal RNA
Rfam family: tRNA (bases 204-277)
Source: RNAcentral